AUCGCUUCUCGGCCUUUUGGCUAAGAUCAAGUGUAGAAUAACUUGUGGCUCAGUCUCUGGGUUGGAAAAAACAAAACAAAACUUGUCAGAAUAAGAAAGGAGCCAGUGCCUAUAUGUGCAGAACUGUUGAACUGCCAGUUCAAUGGGCAAAAGCUUG
Molecule: small nuclear RNA, 157 nt
Filed under: Fukomys damarensis (Damara mole-rat)
Lineage: Eukaryota; Metazoa; Chordata; Mammalia; Rodentia; Bathyergidae
Description: U2 spliceosomal RNA
Rfam family: U2 spliceosomal RNA
About the family: U2 is a small nuclear RNA (snRNA) component of the spliceosome (involved in pre-mRNA splicing). Complementary binding between U2 snRNA (in an area lying towards the 5' end but 3' to hairpin I) and the branchpoint sequence (BPS) of the intron results the bulging out of an unpaired adenosine, on the BPS, which initiates a nucleophilic attack at the intronic 5' splice site, thus starting the first of two transesterification reactions that mediate splicing.
Source: Rfam by way of RNAcentral